RNAcentral lists this unclassified non-coding RNA (285 nucleotides) under uncultured fungus. RNAcentral's name for it is "partial contains 5.8S ribosomal RNA, internal transcribed spacer 2, and large subunit ribosomal RNA". The stretch from base 1 to 52 matches the Rfam family "5.8S ribosomal RNA", at positions 103 to 154 of the family's 154-position model. The record is from RNAcentral. Lineage: Eukaryota; Fungi.
AACGCAUCUUGCGCCCCUCGGCAUUCCGUGGGGCAUGCCUGUUUGAGUGUCAUGAAGUCUUCUCAAAGCCGACCCUUUGCCGGAUUAGCUUUGGACCGUGGACGAAGCUUGCGACCGUAGAGGCCGCUCGUCUUGAAAACGCAUCCGACCGAAGCGCCCCGAGGCCCCGACCGCGUAAUAAAGCGAUAUGCCGUCAAUAAAGGGUUUCGGUGGCCUUUGUUUGAACCGCUCUUGUGCCCCCUUGGCCCUGACCUCAAAUCAGGUAGGACCACCCGCUGAACUUAA